RNAcentral lists this ribosomal RNA (455 nucleotides) under uncultured bacterium. Its description in RNAcentral is "bacterial SSU rRNA". It matches the Rfam family "Bacterial small subunit ribosomal RNA", at positions 340 to 784 of the family's 1533-position model. The record is from RNAcentral.
UACGGAAGGCAGCAGUGGGGAAUAUUGCACAAUGGGCGCAAGCCUGAUGCAGCCAUGCCGCGUGUAUGAAGAAGGCCUUCGGGUUGUAAAGUACUUUCAGUCGUGAGGAAGGUGUUAAGGUUAAUAACCUUAGCAAUUGACGUUAGCGACAGAAGAAGCACCGGCUAACUCCGUGCCAGCAGCCGCGGUAAUACGGAUGGUGCGAGCGUUAAUCGGAAUUACUGGGCGUAAAGGGCACGCAGGCGGUUAAUUAAGUUGGAUGUGAAAUCCCCGGGCUUAACCUGGGAAUGGCAUUCAAGACUGGUUAGCUAGAGUCUUGUAGAGGGGGUAGAAUUCCGAUGUGUAGCGGUGAAAUGCGUAGAGAUGUGGAGGAAUACCGGGUGGCGAAGGCGGCCCCUGGGACAAAGACUGACGCUCAUGUGCGAAAGCGUGGGGAGCGAAACAGGGAUUAGAUA